RNAcentral lists this unclassified non-coding RNA (601 nucleotides) under Bombus terrestris (buff-tailed bumblebee). RNAcentral's name for it is "misc RNA ENSBTSG00005031844.1". The record is from RNAcentral. Lineage: Eukaryota; Metazoa; Arthropoda; Insecta; Hymenoptera; Apidae.
ACGAGCGUGCACGUGUUCCUUGGGAUCCUGGUGCUGGCGUGCGAGUUUGACGCACCACUUUUAAAACGGAUUGACGCGCGUCGGUUUCCCGCUAAUGGCAGGGUUCGCAUAAACGCACAGACACACCGCGAUAAGGCCAAUUUGACGGAUCGUUUCGCGUAGCCGACGAGCUGCCACCAUGUUGUUUGUCUGUGAAUAUGAGACGAUAUGACGAAUCCAAAUAGACGGCCGAGAAAUGGAAAGUUAGAAUUUUCUGACGGUCGUUAUCGUUAGAAGACAUCGGAAAUUAAUCGCGCGUUAUGCAAUCAGAUUAUGUCCUUUGCGAAAUGUCAAAGUACCAGAAGUAUCGCAUAUUAAGGAAAAAAAGUAACUGUAAAACCAGCUUAAGAUUUUUCAUUCUCGUACAAAUAUACAAGGCGCAAGAGAUGAAAUCAGAUUUAGCAGAAGAAGGAAAGGAUAUUUCAAACACGAUAUACUUUGUUCCUUUAACCCUUUGCACUCCGAAUUUUGUUUCAAUUUCGUUAGCAGCAGCUUCCAACGUUUUUAAGUGUUUAUUUGAAAUUUACUUUAACUAAAAAAUAAGACAAUUUAAAUAAAUAAG